CACGAUGGGUAGAAAACAUCCUUUAGCUAAUUUCUUGAUUCUCCUCUUGAACUUGGGUACGUUGCUAUCUUCUUUAGCAUGUCCAUAUUGCCCUUAUCCUACUCCUCCCCCUCCGUGUCCCCCAACAUUUCCACCAAAACACCCUCCACAUGUAAAGCCACCUUUCCACCCCAAACCACCGCAUCACAAGCCACCCCAUGUCAAACCACCGCACAAGCCCCCGUAUGUUCCUAAACCACCUUAUUCCCCAAGCCCUAAACCGCCUUACGUGCCAAAACCACCUCAUACUCCAGUCCCUAGGCCACCAUAUUUCCCCAAACCACCUUACACACCAAGGCCUAAGCCACCAUAUGCGCCAAAACCACCUUAUACGCCAACCCCUAAGCCACCAUAUUUCCCCAAACCACCUUACACACCAAGGCCGAAGCCACCAUAUGUGCCAAAACCACCUUAUACGCCAGCCCCUAAGCCACCAUAUUUUCCCAAACCACCUUACACACCAAGGCCUAAGCCACCAUAUGCACCAAAACCACCUUAUACGCCAACACCUAAGCCACCAUAUUUCCCCAAACCACCUUACACACCAAGGCCUAAGCCACCGUACGUGCCAAAACCACCGUACACACCAAGGCCUAAGCCACCGUACGUGCCAAAACCACCAUACACACCAACCCCUAAGCCACCGUACGUGCCAAAACCACCUUACACCCCAACCCCUAAGCCACCGUACGUGCCAAAACCACCGUAUACCCCAACUCCUAAGCCACCGUACGUCCCAUCGCCACCUUAUACCCCUCGCCCUAAACCACCGUAUGUACCAUCACCACCUUAUACCCCUAGCCCUAAACCACCGUAUGUGCCAUCACCACCAUAUACCCCAAGCCCUACCCCACCAUAUGUACCAUCACCACCGUAUACCCCAAGCCCACCAUAUGUACCAUCACCACCGUAUACCCCAAGCCCUAGCCCACCACCACCACCAAGUGGAACACCGUGUCCUCCGCCGCCGCCACCAAAGGUGAGACCGUACCCUCCACCACCAUCACAAACUUGUCCCAUUGAUACUCUCAAGCUUGGUGCAUGCGUCGACGUGUUGGGCGGUCUAAUACACAUCGGUAUAGGCAGCAGUGCAAAGGACGCUUGCUGCCCCGUGCUGCAGGGGCUACUGGACUUGGAUG
This 1178-nucleotide long non-coding RNA is filed under the name Citrus maxima (pomelo). Its description in RNAcentral is "long non-coding RNA (CMAX_LNC002831)". Lineage: Eukaryota; Viridiplantae; Streptophyta; Magnoliopsida; Sapindales; Rutaceae. The record is from RNAcentral.